GUCUGAAUAUGGGGGGACCAUCCUCCAAGGCUAAAUACUCCUGACUGACCGAUAGUGAACCAGUACCGUGAGGGAAAGGCGAAAAGAACCCCGGCGAGGGGAGUGAAAAAGAACCUGAAACCGUGUACGUACAAGCAGUGGGAGCCCCACCACUAAGCCAGUGGUGAACUCCACAUCCGCAUCCUUUGCUGAGGAUACGGUUAACGGAGCGAAAGCGACGUUCAACCGCAAAACAAGCAGAGGGGGCUUAGUGGUGGGGUGACUGCGUACCUUUUGUAUAAUGGGUCAGCGACUUAUAUUCUGUAGCAAGGUUAACCGAAUAGGGGAGCCGGAGGGAAACCGAGUCUUAAUUGGGCGUUAAGUUGCAGGGUAUAGACCCGAAACCCGGUGAUCUAGCCAUGGGCAGGUUGAAGGUUGGGUAACACUAACUGGAGGACCGAACCGACUAAUGUUGAAAAAUUAGCGGAUGACCUGUGGCUGGGGGUGAAAGGCCAAUCAAACCGGGAGAUAGCUGGUUCUCCCCGAAAGCUAUUUAGGUAGCGCCUCGUGAAUUCAUCUCCGGGGGUAGAGCACUGUUUCGGCUAGGGGGCCAUCCCGGCUUACCAACCCGAUGCAAACUGCGAAUACCGGAGAAUGUUAUCACGGGAGACACACGGCGGGUGCUAACGUCCGUCGUGAAGAGGGAAACAACCCAGACCGCCAGCUAAGGUCCCAAAGUCAUGGUUAAGUGGGAAACGAUGUGGGAAGGCCCAGACAGCCAGGAUGUUGGCUUAGAAGCAGCCAUCAUUUAAAGAAAGCGUAAUAGCUCACUGGUCGAGUCGGCCUGCGCGGAAGAUGUAACGGGGCUAAACCAUGCACCGAAGCUGCGGCAGCGAACGUAUCACCCAAGACAACUUUACGGAGUUGACGAUUGACGGAGCGAAGCGACGUCAAAGCGUUCAUUAAAGUCGAGUUGGCUUAGGGAUACGUUCGUUGGGUAGGGGAGCGUUCUGUAAGCCUGUGAAGGUGUGUCGUGAGGCAUGCUGGAGGUAUCAGAAGUGCGAAUGCUGACAUAAGUAACGAUAAAGCGGGUGAAAAGCCCGCUCGCCGGAAGACCAAGGGUUCCUGUCCAACGUUAAUCGGGGCAGGGUGAGUCGACCCCUAAGGCGAGGCCGAAAGGCGUAGUCGAUGGGAAACGGGUUAAUAUUCCCGUACUUGGUGUUACUGCGAAGGGGGGACGGAGAAGGCUAUGUUGGCCGGGCGACGGUUGUCCCGGUUUAAGCGUGUAGGUGUGUGUUCCAGGUAAAUCCGGUUCACUUUAACACUGAGGCGUGACGACGAGGCACUACGGUGCUGAAGCAACAAAUGCCCUGCUUCCAGGAAAAGCCUCUAAGCAUCAGGUAACAC
Molecule: ribosomal RNA, 1386 nt
Filed under: Salmonella enterica subsp. enterica serovar Typhimurium
Lineage: Bacteria; Pseudomonadati; Pseudomonadota; Gammaproteobacteria; Enterobacterales; Enterobacteriaceae
Description: partial 23S ribosomal RNA
Rfam family: Bacterial large subunit ribosomal RNA
Source: RNAcentral